UACGAAGGGGGCUAGCGUUGUCCGGAAUUAUUGGGCGUAAAGAGCGUGUAGGCGGUCCGGUAAGUCAGCUGUGAAAGUCAAGGGCUCAACCCUUGAAAGCCGGUUGAUACUGUCGGGCUAGAGUCCGGAAGAGGCGAGUGGAAUUCCCGGUGUAGCGGUGAAAUGCGCAGAUAUCGGGAGGAACACCAAUGGCGAAGGCAGCUCGCUGGGACGGUACUGACGCUGAGACGCGAAAGCGUGGGGAGCAAACAGG
This 253-nucleotide ribosomal RNA is filed under the name uncultured bacterium. Its description in RNAcentral is "partial 16S ribosomal RNA". It matches the Rfam family "Bacterial small subunit ribosomal RNA", at positions 524 to 776 of the family's 1533-position model. The record is from RNAcentral.